Molecule: ribosomal RNA, 393 nt
Filed under: uncultured bacterium
Lineage: Bacteria
Description: partial 16S ribosomal RNA
Rfam family: Bacterial small subunit ribosomal RNA
Source: RNAcentral
AUACGGAGGAUCCAAGCGUUAUCCGGAUUUAUUGGGUUUAAAGGGUGCGCAGGCGGAAGAUUAAGUCGGCGGUGAAAUUUUGCAGCUCGACUGUAAAAGUGCCAUCGAUACUGGUUUUCUUGAGUGUGGAUGAAGUAGGCGGAAUUUGUGGUGUAGCGGUGAAAUGCAUAGAUAUCACGAGGAACUCCGAUUGCGCAGGCAGCUUACUAGGCCAUAACUGACGCUCAGGCACGAAGGCGUGGGGAUCAAACAGGAUUAGAUACCCUGGUAGUCCACGCAGUAAACGAUGAUUACUCGCUGUUUGCGAUACACAGUAAGCGGCUUAGCGAAAGCGUUAAGUAAUCCACCUGGGGAGUACGUUCGCAAGAAUGAAACUCAAAUGAAUUGACGGGG